AUGAUAGAAGAAAGCCACAUGUGGCAGAAUGCAAAAGAUAAUGUGAUUAAAUGGUUAUUAAGAGUGCCCCCUACAGUAGCUGGUCCCAUGGAAGAGACAGAUGAAGGUGAAGAAACUGUUCCUCUCUUUCCGGAGCCCAGGGGGAGAGGUAAGAGAUCUGCCUCACAAGAACUAGCUCGGCUCUUACGUAAAGGUCACAGUGAGUAUGCAAACUACACAGGAUAUCAGAAUUAUAUACUUCCCAUCAAUAGUACAUAUUUUAAUUGGACCUUUUUCAGCCUCCAUAAUGAACUGGGCCUUCAGCCGCAAGGCUGGGAACUACAUAAGAUAAGACACACCCUCUACACAGAAUGGGUUUAUCAGGUUCCUAAUUUCAAACAUCUGGGGGUAGUACAAUGGAUGAAAAAGAAUCAAUCUGAUCCCACUAACUUAGACACAGGGUUUCAUGCAUGGAACGAGGAAACCAGGAAUUGUUUAAUUAAUAAGGCUAAUAACAGCUCUUUGUGGCAAGGUGGGGAACCUCUCAGACUAAGAAUAGCAGGAGCAUAUUACCAAAAAGGAACAGCUACUCCUGAUAAUAUAAUUGAGGCAGACUCCAUAUUCGAAGCAGUAAACGAAAUGAUUAGACCAAGCCAUAAGAAAGAUUUUUAUCACAGUCCCACAUGGGCUAGAAAUUACACAUUGAUGCUUGAAGGAUGUCAGGCGGAAGUCUGUAAUAAUACUAAAGGAUUAACUAGAAGAAUGUGUAUUUUUUGGUAUUCAAAAUUAUAUGGAUUGACAAUCGGAGGUUUGCGUCCGGACACAUUAGGAGAUCGAGAAUUUUUUAAACCUAGAUCCCCUUGUUUAAACAUAGCUACUUUAGGAACUGGAGAAUUAAGCUAUAAAGUCUUGCGUAGAUAUAUGCAAAGAAAUAUUCCAGAAGACUAUAGAUAUUGUAGAAAAGGAAUGUACGAGACAAAUCCUAUGACUUACUGGUACGGGGAGGGAUAUAAUAAACAAAAAUAUGAUUAUUAUCCCCAGGACACACGGAUUGAAGCAGAAACCUUUGAGAUAAAAUUAAUAGGGAUGAAAAUGCUGGUGUUAGAAAACGGACAGUUCCGGGUCAAGACAAAUUGGUUUUCGAUAGAUAAAACGAACACCUGGGAGAUUAAUAAUACAAAAACGGGGAAUGGCCUCUUAGAUCGCAUAAUGAUUAUGGGUGAUAAAGUUGGAGACUUAGUGCCCCCAGGGUUCAUGACCCCAGGGACAACCAAAUGGGGAGCAUUCAGUCUGGUAAAUUUUAAUUACUUUAACGGAUUAGGAAUAGAUCAUCAUGUGUGCUUUAAUGAGCCCAGAAUAGGGAAGAAUCCUCAACCUGAAAGAUUCACAAUUGACCCUGACACGCCCAAAGAAUUUCCUAACUUUAGAGAUUAUCCAAAUUGGGACUUAAGGAGUGGUUAUUGUUCGGCUUUCCGAAGAUCGUUGGAUCAGCAAAAAGCCGACUGGUUUGACUAUUUUGCGUAUGGAAUUAAUGGCACGCUUAGGGGAGUCAGUUUAGUUGUCAGAGGAGUGGGGGAAAAUGUGAGUGACAGUGUAGUGCAAGUCUCAAAUAAUGUAAUUCAAGGAACAAGCAGUUCAGUGGAGACAUUAAUUAAGGGAGUGAGAGAAAAUAUAAUUGCCCUCGUCUGGGAUGCAUUAUUUUGGCCAUUAUGUGCACUGGGAUUAAUGUCAGGGGUGAUUGUUUUAUUGAUAAGUAUGAUUUUGGCCUGUAAGCAUGACAAGUGGCGGUUGACAGGAAGUAAGCUGUUUAGAGAUAAGAAGCCUGGUCAGCAGGACCAUGAUAGGUUAGGAGAAGGGAUGACAGGUAGUGGGAGCAGCAGCCCCCUCUGUGUGACUUCUGUUUAA
Nothobranchius furzeri (turquoise killifish) is the source of this 1884-nucleotide long non-coding RNA. Lineage: Eukaryota; Metazoa; Chordata; Actinopteri; Cyprinodontiformes; Nothobranchiidae. The record is from Ensembl.